Molecule: ribosomal RNA, 468 nt
Filed under: uncultured bacterium
Lineage: Bacteria
Description: partial 16S ribosomal RNA
Rfam family: Bacterial small subunit ribosomal RNA
Source: RNAcentral
GACGAACGCUGGCGGCGUGCUUAACACAUGCAAGUCGAACGGAAAGGCCCUGCUUUUGUGGGGUGCUCGAGUGGCGAACGGGUGAGUAACACGUGAGUAACCUGCCCUUGACUUUGGGAUAACUUCAGGAAACUGGGGCUAAUACCGGAUAGGAGCUCCUGCUGCAUGGUGGGGGUUGGAAAGUUUCGGCGGUUGGGGAUGGACUCGCGGCUUAUCAGCUUGUUGGUGGGGUAGUGGCUUACCAAGGCUUUGACGGGUAGCCGGCCUGAGAGGGUGACCGGCCACAUUGGGACUGAGAUACGGCCCAGACUCCUACGGGAGGCAGCAGUGGGGAAUAUUGCACAAUGGGCGGAAGCCUGAUGCGGCAACGCCGCGUGCGGGAUGACGGCCUUCGGGUUGUAAACCGCUUUCGCCUGUGACGAAGCGUGAGUGACGGCAAUGGGUAAAGAAGCACCGGCUAACUACGUG